This 412-nucleotide long non-coding RNA is filed under the name Theobroma cacao (cacao). RNAcentral's name for it is "long non-coding RNA (TCAC_LNC000416)". Lineage: Eukaryota; Viridiplantae; Streptophyta; Magnoliopsida; Malvales; Malvaceae. The record is from RNAcentral.
CAUCAUGAUUUCGUUAAGGAUUCCUUAUGGUUGCUUGUUCCCUUCCUUGUUCACUCACUGGGUUUAUACUCACCAUUUUCAAAUUCAUUUUUUCAGAUCACGAGGCAGCCGGUAACUAGGACGGGGUGUCCUUGUAGAUUUGUGUCCAUCUUUUGGUAGGUGUCUUGGCAUUCAGUAGCAGUAUAUUCAUCCGAGUCCCUCCGCUGGAAAUUGAGUCUUCUUUUUGAGAUGUAUAGACAAACUUGAUAUAAAUUAUUAGAAUACAUGUUGUAAACAUUGUAUGUAAAUUUUAAAUGAGUAAUGUCAAUACGAGUUGACAAUGUUUAUUACUAUUUUGGUUUAAAGUUAUAAUUUGUGACUUAGCAAUAUUUGGUGGAAUGAUGAGUAAGAUAAAAUAAUAGGCUUGCUUGGG